UCUAACAUGGCACACUGCUCUCACCCUCUUACACGUGAUAUGCCCCAUCACUAAACAAAAGAGACACACUCGGUCUCUUUAUCGCCCAAGGCAGCACCAGCACCCUUAUUUCCCCAAAAUUUUCUUUUUCUCCUCUUCUCCUCCUUUCUCAUCUUUACAGUGGGGGCUAUGGCAUAGUUAGUGAGCUGAAUUUAUUCAUGGCAGUGCAAGUAGAGUGGUGAAGUGUUGAGCUUGGAUUCAAGUCCUCCAUCACAUUUGAGCUUUGGGUAACGAUUAUUGGUGUUAGGACUUUCAAUCUACCAAUUAUCUUGAGACGUUGUUGUUGCAGGUAAUGAGGAAGAAGAUGAGGAUGUUGACUCUGUAACCUUAUACCUAGGCUACUAUGGAUGAGGCCAUUAGGUGCCUUGGGAUCGUUUGACUAACUUUUUAGUCAAUCUUUUGUUUACAUCAUUUUUUGUAACACACACACUUAUGAUGUAGUUUUGGGAUCAUGCUGCAUGUGGCACAUGUGUUUAGACUGUCUUGUUUUGUAAUGAUACAAUGUAACCGUUUAUCAAGAUAAAUGUCUCUUGUUAGCUCU
Long non-coding RNA from Alnus glutinosa, 580 nucleotides. RefSeq lists it as uncharacterized. The record is from RefSeq and is a predicted model, not a curated record. NCBI's taxonomy places the organism in Eukaryota, Viridiplantae, Streptophyta, Magnoliopsida, Fagales, Betulaceae. The transcript has 3 exons.